Long non-coding RNA from Homo sapiens (human), 2210 nucleotides. Ensembl annotates it as long intergenic non-protein coding RNA 861. NCBI's taxonomy places the organism in Eukaryota, Metazoa, Chordata, Mammalia, Primates, Hominidae. The record is from Ensembl.
GACUUAGGAUUUGAGCAUCUUUCUGUUAUGCUGUUGCCCCACUCCUAUUGCAAUACUCCCCUUCUUAAGAAAGUUUUUCUAGACUAAUGUCUAGAUUAAACUUCUUUUCUUUGACAAUAAUGAUGCCAUGACUUGGACAAAAUGCCCAUUGCCUCUGGGUCCUGCUUUCUUCACCCAGUGCUGCCUUAUUGGACUCCUUGUGCCUCUCCUUGGCUGGGGAAAUCAGAAUACACAGUGGUAUCCCACUUCUAAGAUGCCUGAUCUGAAGGACAGUAAAACAACUGACCUUUGCCAGCAUGUAAAACACAUGGUUUAACUAGUCCUCCAGGAACAACACUGAGCAAUCCUGACCUGGGACUACUUUACUCGGCCAUCUCCUACUUGAGAUGCUCCUUGUCUCUCUGUUCAAGGACACCUUUUCUGAGCCUUUCUUGAACAAGAGUGGAGGACCGAUAGGGCGAUUAAACUGUCCUUGACACAACUUUAGAGCUUCAACUGAGAAUCUAGAAGAGAGUAGAUGGAAAAAUAUUUUUCCCUCCCCUCCAAAUGCAAGGAUAAUCUUACACGAGUCCAGGAGGAAGGCUCAUUCCACACUAAGUGUUCUGAAUCAAAAAGAUGAACAAAAUACAGUGCCAUUCUUCAAGGACUUCACAGUCUACAGGAAAGGGAUAUAGUUAAACAAAUAACUGCAGAAUUGGAAAUUGGAGCUGAUGUGCUUAGAAGUGUUUUGAACAAGGGGCAUGACUGUGACUCUCUCUGCUUUUGCAAGCUUCAGGAAAACCUUUACUCACAGUUGAAAAUACAGAGCCUCAGGGUGAAGCCCUAACUUCCCACAGCAGAUGGGGUCUAUGAGGAGGAAGAAGUAGACGCAUGGACCAGUCCUGUUAUGAAGACAAGUUUCAUGGUGCUACUCUGUCUCCAUGAGCUCCUAUGGCCCAGAAGCUGGCAUCCUGUGAGUGGAAAAGCAAGUCACAUCCAUGCUGAGGUUUUAAGAGAAGCAAACCAGGAGUGCUUUGAUGGAAUGACAACUCACUUUUGGAAGUGGACAGACUAGAAGGGAGGUGAACUUGGCUGAGUCAGCUCUCUGCCACCAAGGCAACCCUGAACUGACAGCUACCUGUCGAUGGCUCUCCCAGGAGGUGAGGAUGCAAAUCCUUUUUUAAAAGGGGAUCUGAGCAUUGGAGAGUCCACCAAACAUGGGAUGAAGAAAUGCUAAAAUGAAAAGCGGAAUUACAAGAAAGAUGUAUCUGUGUCUUUCAUUCCUGGAACACUGGGGGAAUGUAAAAGAAGGUGCAUUAAUGGAAGAGCAUCAUCCCAGAUUCUUGCACUUCUCCAUAGAUGCAUCUAAUCCAGCCUGUUCUAGGAGUCUUUCUAGGAAAUCAUCAAACCUGAGUGUGGUCUUGGAGACCCUAACACAGAUAAGGAAUUCGUCUCGUCAAGUUGGAUGUUCAUAAUGUCUUCUCACAUUUCAAUCAGGUUCCACACCCAUGAAACUGGCCCUGCGUGUACCAUUCAUACUCCCGUCAAGAAAAAUUUGCCAUUCAGUUCAAGAAAUGCAGUUAAUUGACAGUCUUCGGUUGCAGCCUGUUUAGGAUUCAUUUCAGCUUUUGAGCCAACGCCAAGCUUGUCCCAGCCAGGUCUCAGCCAACGAUGAAGUGUAUGUAGUGGGAAUCCUAUGACUGGGCCAUUUCUGCCCUUCCAGGUCUCUUCUGUUGAGCAGUCUUUGCUCCAGAGUGCCCUGUUGAUUUGACUGAGCCAUAGUCAGAUCGGCAUCCUGGUCUGAAGUUCUCCUUGCCUAAUCCCGCUUCCAUCUACCUUUCCAUUCUUGGACGUCUUCUCUGUUUGACACUCUGAAGGCUUUCCUAGCCCAAUCCUGUUUCCACUCCCUCCAUGGUUCACGGCAUUACCCUCCAAUAAACCUCGUGUAUCCCCAACUCCAUCUCAGUGUCUACUUCCCAGAGGACCCAACAGACACAGCAUCUUGAUUUUACAUUGUAUAAGAUAAUGCAAUUCACCUUCUUAUAUCACCUUCUAACUGUCUUCCUUCCCUAAGCCCCUGCCAUCACUUUCUGAUUUCUGAUUCUUUCUACUAUACCAUGAUUUCUAUAUUGCCAGUCCGUAUUAAUGUUUAUCUCCAAAAUGUAUAUUUAAAUGUUAUGCUUUGAUUGUGUAAAUAUACAUAAUAUGCAUGUUCUAAAAACUGAAAAACA